Molecule: long non-coding RNA, 1372 nt
Organism: Pezoporus occidentalis (night parrot)
Lineage: Eukaryota; Metazoa; Chordata; Aves; Psittaciformes; Psittacidae
Exons: 3
Source: RefSeq, a predicted model, not a curated record
AUCCACCUUCCUGGUGACAGUGAUGGAAGGACCCAUGUUCCCAUCCCUGACUGAUAAUAUUUCACCACCUCUUUUGUACCCAUUUUCAUUUUGAUUCCAGGGUAAUUUGUAUCAGUUUAUGAAAUGUGGCCUUUCUUCCAUCGCAUAAGAACACAAACCCAACUGUGACGUUGAGGUGUUAUUGACUUAAGGCGUAUAUAUGCGUGUGGUUUUAUUUGAUCAUCUUCAUUAUUCUAAUUUUUCCCUUCACGUCUUCUUUUUCCUCUUUAUUACAUUGCUGGCUGUUGGAGGCCCUAGGAGUAGAAAUAACAUUUCUAGAUAAUAUUUCUUCAUAAAAAACAUCAUUUAUUAUUGUUUCUCUCUAACAGUAAAUGCCAAGCUCCUUCUCUCAUUUGUUAUAAGCCUAGUUUAGCAUCUUUUCUGGCAAGGCUUAGAUAGAUCCCUGAACACAACAGCCCUUGUGUCCCCAUCCUGGCUGUGCCCAGGUGUAGGUGUCCUGACAGAGGUCAGGUCUCAGCCGCUGACAGCCUGUCACAUGUGAAGGCAUGGCCAGUCCUUGCUGCCACAGCAGGAGCCAAAGAGUGGAAGAGAUUUCUUCAGGCUCCUGUAUUUACCCUAUAAGAGGGUGUCAAUCAGGCAACAAUUUAGCUGUGAGUGAAAUCGCUUUGUGUCUCCACUGAUAUUCCCAACACGGAGCUGCAGGCUUUCUCCUCUCCGUGAUGCUUCUUGAGGUCUGUGUGUCCGUGCCGUGUAUGUCUGCUUAAAACGUGGCUGUAGGAAGGAGAAUUGGGCACAACAUCUGCACUUGGCUCUAAGGGAAGGAAACGAUUCUCCGAAGGUAUAUAUCAGGGUUUCUCCCUGCUUGAGGCUGGAGCCUUCCCUCCUGAUUAGAUUCAGCCAAGAGGGUUUGGUUAUUGCUGUCUCUGAGUCCUGAUGGAGCGUGAUAGAGGUGCCCAGCUGCACAGAGCUGCCUGUGUGUCCUGUCCCCUGGGUGAGGACAGACCCUGGGGUGGUAGCUUGUCUCCUUUCACCAGACCCUGCUCAGCUCUUGGCAUGAGCUCUCUUUGCAAGCACAUCCCCAUUCCCAUGGGAAAACAGCUCCAUGUUCUCACUCUCCCACCCAGGAUUAAUCCUGUGCCAUGGCCAAGGGUCACUUUACAAAAGGACAUGUUGGUUGCAACAACCCCACUAUGGCCAAAUCAUGCUUGCUGAAUGGUGCCCCUGCAAAUGUGUCACCUCUGGGGGGCUGGUUGCUGUCUGGCUCACCCUUCCUCCUGCCCCAACUCCACACUUCCCUCUACCCUCCCUUCCCAGUGGGAUUUUGUUGCAAGCCAUCAGGAUGCAAACCUAAAUCAUCACCGCUCUUUGGUCU